GACGAACGCUGGCGGCGUGCUUAACACAUGCAAGUCGAACGGAAAGGCCCUGCUUUUGUGGGGUGCUCGAGUGGCGAACGGGUGAGUAACACGUGAGUAACCUGCCCUUGACUUUGGGAUAACUUCAGGAAACUGGGGCUAAUACCGGAUAGGAGCUCCUGCUGCAUGGUGGGGGUUGGAAAGUUUCGGCGGUUGGGGAUGGACUCGCGGCUUAUCAGCUUGUUGGUGGGGUAGUGGCUUACCAAGGCUUUGACGGGUAGCCGGCCUGAGAGGGUGACCGGCCACAUUGGGACUGAGAUACGGCCCAGACUCCUACGGGAGGCAGCAGUGGGGAAUAUUGCACAAUGGGCGGAAGCCUGAUGCAGCAACGCCGCGUGCGGGAUGACGGCCUUCGGGUUGUAAACCGCUUUCGCCUGUGACGAAGCGUGAGUGACGGUAAUGGGGAAAGAAGCACCGGCUAACUACGUGC
This 469-nucleotide ribosomal RNA is filed under the name uncultured bacterium. RNAcentral's name for it is "partial 16S ribosomal RNA". It matches the Rfam family "Bacterial small subunit ribosomal RNA", at positions 28 to 508 of the family's 1533-position model. The record is from RNAcentral.